ACUGUCUUACAGGAACCAGACACAGGGGACUUGUGUGAUACUGAGGACACAGAGAGACAUGAUACCCAGGUCCGUGGUGCAGGAGAUCUGGAUGUGGGUCUCAUCUCAGAGACAUUACACACAUUAUCUGAUAUAAUAACAGAUUCGGAUAUUCAGAUGACUGAAACAACGGAUCCCAUUCAACGGCCCCCUUUAUUGAACAGCGUGAAUGGAAAGACCGCCUCCCCAUGUUGGAACUCCGGAUUGCCCAGGAACGUCAGGAACAAGGACUUGUGCCCACCUAAAUUCCUAGCGCGUCUAAGAGUAUGCCAUAAUCUAUAUAUUGUCCAUAGAAGCGGGUUAUCUUUCAAUUCUUGGUCAAAUUCCGCUUCUACCCCGUGAAGGAAAGAUAUAAGGUUUCUGGACCCCACAAAUUGUGCCUCCAGCUGUGUAUUAGCAUAAGUGUCACUAUUAUGUAACCAGUCUUUUAAAAACCUCAAUAAAGAAGCAUGGUUAUAUUUC
Molecule: long non-coding RNA, 501 nt
Organism: Pseudophryne corroboree (corroboree frog)
Lineage: Eukaryota; Metazoa; Chordata; Amphibia; Anura; Myobatrachidae
Exons: 3
Source: RefSeq, a predicted model, not a curated record